Jatropha curcas is the source of this 184-nucleotide non-coding RNA. The record is from RefSeq and is a predicted model, not a curated record. NCBI's taxonomy places the organism in Eukaryota, Viridiplantae, Streptophyta, Magnoliopsida, Malpighiales, Euphorbiaceae.
UAGACAUCAAAAUUUAUGAGUGCUAUCCAUCGAUUAUUCUGAGCAAUAAUUCCCUACUGAUAACAGAAAUUAGUUCACUCGAGCUCUCUUUAGAUUGGUGCAGUAAAAUUAGAAAUUUAAGAUUUGAAAAUAUGUAAGUGUUUAAGGUUUUAAAUUAUGAACAAUUCCUUAAAAUUCAAUGGCU